GGGGUAGCUUAAUGGUAAAGCCCCAUGUCCCAACAUGGACGUUCCGGGUUCGAUUCCUGGUCUCCGCU
This 68-nucleotide transfer RNA is filed under the name Magnetospirillum sp. RNAcentral's name for it is "tRNA-OTHER". It matches the Rfam family "tRNA". Rfam says of the family: Transfer RNA (tRNA) molecules are approximately 80 nucleotides in length. Their secondary structure includes four short double-helical elements and three loops (D, anti-codon, and T loops). Further hydrogen bonds mediate the characteristic L-shaped molecular structure. tRNAs have two regions of fundamental functional importance: the anti-codon, which is responsible for specific mRNA codon recognition, and the 3' end, to which the tRNAs corresponding amino acid is attached (by aminoacyl-tRNA synthetases). tRNAs cope with the degeneracy of the genetic code in two manners: having more than one tRNA (with a specific anti-codon) for a particular amino acid; and 'wobble' base-pairing, i.e. permitting non-standard base-pairing at the 3rd anti-codon position. The record is from RNAcentral. Lineage: Bacteria; Pseudomonadati; Pseudomonadota; Alphaproteobacteria; Rhodospirillales; Rhodospirillaceae.